RNAcentral lists this unclassified non-coding RNA (191 nucleotides) under uncultured Herpotrichiellaceae. RNAcentral's name for it is "sequence contains ITS1". The record is from RNAcentral. Lineage: Eukaryota; Fungi; Ascomycota; Eurotiomycetes; Chaetothyriales; Herpotrichiellaceae.
CUGAGUUAGGGUCUUUUCGGGCCCGACCUCCUAACCCCAUGUUUACUAAACCAAUGUUGCUUCGGCGGGCCCGUCUCACGACCGCCGGAGGACUGUAAGACGUCCUCUGGCCUGCGCCCGUCGGUGGCCAAACUUCAAAUUCUGAAUUAAAACGUGUCACCUGUCUGAGUGCCAUUCUUUUAAUUAAAGCA